This 467-nucleotide ribosomal RNA is filed under the name uncultured bacterium. RNAcentral describes it as "partial 16S ribosomal RNA". It matches the Rfam family "Bacterial small subunit ribosomal RNA", at positions 28 to 507 of the family's 1533-position model. The record is from RNAcentral.
GACGAACGCUGGCGGCGUGCUUAACACAUGCAAGUCGAACGGAAAGGCCCUGCUUUUGUGGGGUGCUCGAGUGGCGAACGGGUGAGUAACACGUGAGUAACCUGCCCUUGAUUUGGGGUAACUUCCAGAAACUGGGGCCAAUACCCGGUAAGAGCUCCCGGCUCCAGGGGGGGGGUGGGAAGGUUCGGCGGUUGGGGAUGGACUCGCGGCCUAUCAGCUUGUUGGUGGGGUAGUGGCUUACCAAGGCUUUGACGGGUAGCCGGCCUGAGAGGGUGACCGGCCACAUUGGGACUGAGAUACGGCCCAGACUCCUACGGGAGGCAGCAGUGGGGAAUAUUGCACAAUGGGCGGAAGCCUGAUGCAGCAACGCCGCGUGCGGGAUGACGGCCUUCGGGUUGUAAACCGCUUUCGCCUGUGACGAAGCGUGAGUGACGGUAAUGGGUAAAGAAGCACCGGCUAACUACGUG